Molecule: long non-coding RNA, 632 nt
Filed under: Triticum aestivum (bread wheat)
Lineage: Eukaryota; Viridiplantae; Streptophyta; Magnoliopsida; Poales; Poaceae
Description: long non-coding RNA (TAES_LNC005698)
Source: RNAcentral
UAGCCUCCAUGGUAGCUCCUCCUCCCUUUUGCCGCUCCAUGUGCUAGCCUUGAAAAUGCCCAAUUAUAUUGUGUCCUUGCAUUGGUAUGUAUGUAGUUCUGAUCAAUCACACAAAUACCUAAAAGUAAAGAAUAAAACUAAAGUGAAAUUGCUAGGAAAAUGUCAAGAAAUCACAUACUGCUAGUGAGGGCAUCAGAAUAUCACAUUAUACUAUCCUCUACAAUGGUUACAUGUGAAGCAAAUUUGGAGGCAUAUACAACUAAAAAGUAAAUCAUUGUAUCAUGGAAAUGACAUACAAAUAUGGACCAUGGAAUAAAAUACUAUUGGAAGGUGUUUAGAAACUUGAUCACUGUAUCAUGAAAAUGAUAUUGCAAGAGCUGACCUUUCCCUUGGGCACAUUCCCAUGCUUUGACUAAAAUAGAGCAUUUGCAGUUCCUGCUUGGACGCUCACGUUCUUUCCGUUUACUCACUUCAUAUGCUAUCCCCUGAUCAAAUCAACAGCUAAGCUGAUUAGCCAGCCAACCAGCUCUACUUUUGCAGUUUGCAUUGAACACUCCAAAGGGAAAAUUAGAGGGCACCCAUGGCUUCAACGAUGAGGUAGUAACAGCAAGGUCGAUGAGUAGCGAGAGCAC